This 482-nucleotide ribosomal RNA is filed under the name uncultured bacterium. RNAcentral describes it as "partial 16S ribosomal RNA". It matches the Rfam family "Bacterial small subunit ribosomal RNA", at positions 30 to 507 of the family's 1533-position model. The record is from RNAcentral.
AUUGAACGCUGGCGGCAUGCUUUACACAUGCAAGUCGAACGGCAGCGCGGGGCAACCUGGCGGCGAGUGGCGAACGGGUGAGUAAUGCAUCGGAACGUACCCAGAAGUGGGGGAUAACGUAGCGAAAGUUACGCUAAUACCGCAUACGUUCUACGGAAGAAAGUGGGGGACCUUCGGGCCUCAUGCUUUUGGAGCGGCCGAUGUCUGAUUAGCUAGUUGGUGAGGUAAAGGCUCACCAAGGCGACGAUCAGUAGCUGGUCUGAGAGGACGACCAGCCACACUGGGACUGAGACACGGCCCAGACUCCUACGGGAGGCAGCAGUGGGGAAUUUUGGACAAUGGGCGCAAGCCUGAUCCAGCAAUGCCGCGUGAGUGAAGAAGGCCUUCGGGUUGUAAAGCUCUUUUGUCAGGGAAGAAACGGCUGAGGAUAAUACCUUCGGCUAAUGACGGUACCUGAAGAAUAAGCACCGGCUAACUACGUG